Molecule: transfer RNA, 69 nt
Filed under: Margattea limbata
Lineage: Eukaryota; Metazoa; Arthropoda; Insecta; Blattodea; Pseudophyllodromiidae
Description: tRNA-Val
Source: RNAcentral
CAAGUUAAUCUAUGGUAGAAUUUUCACUUACAUUGAAGAUAUGGUUGAUGCAAUUUCAAUCUAGCUUGA